GAUGAACGCUAGCUACAGGCUUAACACAUGCAAGUCGAGGGCAGCAUGAACUUAGCUUGCUAAGUUGAUGGCGACCGGCGCACGGGUGAGUAACACGUAUCCAACCUGCCGAUGACUCGGGGAUAGCCUUUCGAAAGAAAGAUUAAUACCCGAUGGCAUAGUUCUUCCGCAUGGUAGAACUAUUAAAGAACUUCGGUCAUCGAUGGGGAUGCGUUCCAUUAGGUUGUUGGCGGGGUAACGGCCCACCAAGCCUUCGAUGGAUAGGGGGUUCUGAGAGGAAGGUCCCCCACAUUGGAACUGAGACACGGUCCAAACUCCUACGGGAGGCAGCAGUGAGGAAUAUUGGUCAAUGGACGAGAGUCUGAACCAGCCAAGUAGCGUGAAGGAUGACUGCCCUAUGGGUUGUAAACUUCUUUUAUACGGGAAUAAAGUGAGGCACGUGUGCCUUUUUGUAUGUACCGUAUGAAUAAGGAUCGGCUAACUCCGUG
RNAcentral lists this ribosomal RNA (488 nucleotides) under uncultured bacterium. Its description in RNAcentral is "bacterial SSU rRNA". It matches the Rfam family "Bacterial small subunit ribosomal RNA", at positions 28 to 507 of the family's 1533-position model. The record is from RNAcentral.